AACGAACACUGGCGGCGUGGAUUAGGCAUGCAAGUCGAACGAGAAAGCUCCCUUCGGGGAGUGAGUACAGUGGCGAACGGGUGAGUAACGCGUGGGAAACCUGCCCUUCUGCGGGGGAUAACAGUUCUAACGAGCUGCUAAUACCGCAUACGACCUUUGGAUCUCAUGAUCCGGAGGUGAAAGAUGGCCUCUCUUUGAAGCUGUCACGGAAGGAUGGUCCCGCGUCCCAUUAGCUUGUUGGUGGGGUAAUGGCCUACCAAGGCGACGAUGGGUAGCUGGUCUGAGAGGAUGAUCAGCCACACUGGGACUGAGACACGGCCCAGACUCCUACGGGAGGCAGCAGUGGGGAAUUUUCCGCAAUGGGCGACAGCCUGACGGAGCAACGCCGCGUGAGGGAUGAAGGCCUCUGGGCUGUAAACCUCUUUUAUCAAGGAAGAAGAUCUGACGGUACUUGAUGAAUAAGCCACGGCUAAUUCCGUG
Molecule: ribosomal RNA, 480 nt
Filed under: uncultured bacterium
Lineage: Bacteria
Description: bacterial SSU rRNA
Rfam family: Bacterial small subunit ribosomal RNA
Source: RNAcentral